This 229-nucleotide unclassified non-coding RNA is filed under the name fungal sp. RNAcentral describes it as "partial internal transcribed spacer region". The stretch from base 1 to 46 matches the Rfam family "Eukaryotic small subunit ribosomal RNA", at positions 1786 to 1831 of the family's 1831-position model. Lineage: Eukaryota; Fungi. The record is from RNAcentral.
AAGUCGUAACAAGGUUUCCGUAGGUGAACCUGCGGAAGGAUCAUUACAAAAUUUAUUGUGAUUGCGGAUUUAUUGGAGGGUAGAACUUCUGAUGAAUCCCGAUUACUAAGCCCACUCCCGAAAGGGAGAUGGAUGCAUGCAGCAAUGUGUGCAAAAUAGACUUUAAAUCAUGACUUAUUCCAAAAAGAAAAUAACCAAAACUUUUAACAAUGGAUCUCUUGGCUCUUGC